GACGAACGCUGGCGGCGUGCUUAACACAUGCAAGUCGAACGGAAAGGCCCUGCUUUUGUGGGGUGCUCGAGUGGCGAACGGGUGAGUAACACGUGAGUAACCUGCCCUUGACUUUGGGAUAACUUCAGGAAACUGGGGCUAAUACCGGAUAGGAGCUCCUGCUGCAUGGUGGGGGUUGGAAAGUUUCGGCGGUUGGGGAUGGACGCGCGGCUUAUCAGCUUGUUGGUGGGGUAGUGGCUUACCAAGGCUUUGACGGGUAGCCGGCCUGAGAGGGUGACCGGCCACAUUGGGACUGAGGUACGGCCCAGACUCCUACGGGAGGCAGCAGUGGGGAAUAUUGCACAAUGGGCGGAAGCCUGAGGCAGCAACGCCGCGUGCGGGAUGACGGCCUUCGGGUUGUAAACCGCUUUCGCCUGUGACGAAGCGUGAGUGACGGUAAUGGGUAAAGAAGCACCGGCUAACUACGUG
This 468-nucleotide ribosomal RNA is filed under the name uncultured bacterium. RNAcentral's name for it is "partial 16S ribosomal RNA". It matches the Rfam family "Bacterial small subunit ribosomal RNA", at positions 28 to 507 of the family's 1533-position model. The record is from RNAcentral.